RNAcentral lists this ribosomal RNA (494 nucleotides) under uncultured bacterium. RNAcentral's name for it is "partial 16S ribosomal RNA". It matches the Rfam family "Bacterial small subunit ribosomal RNA", at positions 28 to 507 of the family's 1533-position model. The record is from RNAcentral.
GACGCCCGCUUUCUUCUUUCUUAACACAUGCAAGUCGAACGGUGAAGCGCCUUCCUUUUUGGUGGGUGUGGAUGAGUGGCGAACGGGUGAGUAACUCGUGAGUAACCUGCCCCCUUCUUCUGGAUAACCGCAUGAAAGUGUGGCUAAUACGGGAUAUUCUGGGUCUGUCGCAUGAUGGGUCUGGGAAAGAUAUUGUUUCGGUGGGGGAUGGGCUCGCGGCCUAUCAGCUUGUUGGUGGGGUGAUGGCCUACCAAGGCGGUGACGGGUAGCCGGCCUGAGAGGGUGGACGGUCACACUGGGACUGAGACACGGCGCAGACUCCUACGGGAGGCAGCAGUGGGGAAUAUUGCACAAUGGGCGCAAGCCUGAUGCAGCGACGCCGCGUGAGGGAUGGAGGCCUUCGGGUUGUGAACCUCUUUCGCCAGUGAAGCAGGCCUGCCUCGUUUGUGGGUGGGUUGACGGUAGCUGGAUAAGAAGCGCCGGCUAACUACGUG